Molecule: ribosomal RNA, 122 nt
Organism: Methanobrevibacter filiformis
Lineage: Archaea; Methanobacteriati; Methanobacteriota; Methanobacteria; Methanobacteriales; Methanobacteriaceae
Source: Rfam
UUUGGCGACCAUAGCAUCAGGGCAACACCCAGUCUCGUUUCGAUCCUGGAAGUAAAGCCUGUUUGUGUUUUGUAUUGUGUACUAUGGGCUAUGCCUAUGGGAAUUUCAUUUUGUUGCCAAAC